GGUGGGUUACUCAAGAGGCCGAAGAGGCGGGUUUGCUAAACCUGUAGGGUGCCGCAAGGUGCCGCAGGGGUUCGAAUCCCCUACCCACCGCCA
RNAcentral lists this transfer RNA (93 nucleotides) under Candidatus Gracilibacteria bacterium GN02-873. RNAcentral describes it as "tRNA-Ser". It matches the Rfam family "tRNA". Rfam says of the family: Transfer RNA (tRNA) molecules are approximately 80 nucleotides in length. Their secondary structure includes four short double-helical elements and three loops (D, anti-codon, and T loops). RNAcentral also lists the same sequence under 2 other names. The record is from RNAcentral. Lineage: Bacteria; Candidatus Altimarinota.